Molecule: ribosomal RNA, 446 nt
Filed under: uncultured bacterium
Lineage: Bacteria
Description: partial 16S ribosomal RNA
Rfam family: Bacterial small subunit ribosomal RNA
Source: RNAcentral
CCUACGGGAGGCAGCAGUCGAGAAUCAUUCACAAUGGGGGAAACCCUGAUGGUGCGACGCCGCGUGGGGGAAUGAAGGUCUUCGGAUUGUAAACCCCUGUCAUGUGGGAGCAAAUUAAAAAGAUAGUACCACAAGAGGAAGAGACGGCUAACUCUGUGCCAGCAGCCGCGGUAAUACAGAGGUCUCAAGCGUUGUUCGGAAUCACUGGGCGUAAAGGGUGCGUAGGCUGUUUCGUAAGUCGUGUGUGAAAGGCGCGGGCUCAACCCGCGGACGGCACAUGAUACUGCGUGACUAGAGUAAUGGAGGGGGAACCGGAAUUCGCGGUGUAGCAGUGAAAUGCGUAGAUAUCGAGAGGAACACUCGUGGCGAAGGCGGGUUCCUGGACAUUAACUGACGCUGAGGCACGAAGGCCAGGGGAGCGAAAGGGAUUAGAUACCCCAGUAGUC